Molecule: ribosomal RNA, 497 nt
Filed under: uncultured bacterium
Lineage: Bacteria
Description: partial 16S ribosomal RNA
Rfam family: Bacterial small subunit ribosomal RNA
Source: RNAcentral
GAUGAACGCUGGCGGCGUGCCUAAUACAUGCAAGUCGAGCGAACGGACGAGAAGCUUGCCUCUCUGAUGUUAGCGGCGGACGGGUGAGUAACACGUGGAUAACCUACCUAUAAGACUGGGAUAACUUCGGGAAACCGGAGCUAAUACCGGAUAAUAUUUUGAACCGCAUGGUUCAAAAGUGAAAGACGGUCUUGCUGUCACUUAUAGAUGGAUCCGCGCUGCAUUAGCUAGUUGGUAAGGUAACGGCUUACCAAGGCAACGAUGCAUAGCCGACCUGAGAGGGUGAUCGGCCACACUGGAACUGAGACACGGUCCAGACUCCUACGGGAGGCAGCAGUAGGGAAUCUUCCGCAAUGGGCGAAAGCCUGACGGAGCAACGCCGCGUGAGUGAUGAAGGUCUUCGGAUCGUAAAACUCUGUUAUUAGGGAAGAACAUAUGUGUAAGUAACUGUGCACAUCUUGACGGUACUUAAUCAGAAAGCCACGGCUAACUACGUG